This 837-nucleotide ribosomal RNA is filed under the name Inocybe fuscescentipes. RNAcentral's name for it is "eukaryotic LSU rRNA". The stretch from base 282 to 435 matches the Rfam family "5.8S ribosomal RNA". The record is from RNAcentral. Lineage: Eukaryota; Fungi; Basidiomycota; Agaricomycetes; Agaricales; Inocybaceae.
GUAAAAGUCGUAACAAGGUUUCCGUAGGUGAACCUGCGGAAGGAUCAUUAUUGAAUAAACUUGAACAGGCUGUUGCUGGUCACCCUAGGGGGGCAUGUGCACGCUUGUCAUCUUUAUUUCUCCAACUGUGCACACACUGUAGACCUGGAGGGUUUUUGAUUCAUUCGAGUUGGCACUGCAGUGCUUAAAUUAACAAAGUCUGCUUUGCCUUUGCCUUUUCAGGUCUAUGUCCUUUUACAAUCUCAAAUAUGUUUAGAAUGAUAAUAAAGUUUAAAUAUAACAACUUUCAGCAACGGAUCUCUUGGCUCUCGCAUCGAUGAAGAACGCAGCGAAAUGCGAUAAGUAAUGUGAAUUGCAGAAUUCAGUGAAUCAUCGAAUCUUUGAACGCAUCUUGCGCUCCUUGGUAUUCUGAGGAGCAUGCCUGUUUGAGUGUCAUUUCAAGUUCUCAACCGCAUCAAUUUCUUCUGAUUGGUGUGGCUUGGAUGUUGGGGGUUUUAUUUUGCAGGCUUCUUCUUUCUAGGAGGAAAUCGGCUCCCCUGAAAUAGAUUAGUAGUAUAUCUGAGCCUACUACAAAGGUGUGAUAAAUUAUCUAUGCCUUUUCAUAGUAUGGACAACUGCUUCUAACAAGUGGAAACACCUUUUAUGACAAAUUUGACCUCAAAUCAGGUAGGACUACCCGCUGAACUUAAGCAUAUCAAUAAGCGGAGGAAAAGAAACUAACAAGGAUUCCCCUAGUAACUGCGAGUGAAGCGGGAAAAGCUCAAAUUUGAAAUCUGGCAGCUUUUUGGCUGUCCGAGUUGUAAUCUAGAGAAGUGUUACCUGUGCUGAACCGUGUAC